This 318-nucleotide ribosomal RNA is filed under the name uncultured Butyrivibrio sp. RNAcentral's name for it is "partial 16S ribosomal RNA". Lineage: Bacteria; Bacillati; Bacillota; Clostridia; Lachnospirales; Lachnospiraceae. The record is from RNAcentral.
CCUUAUGAUUUGGGCCACAUCCGUUGAUUGAUCUUUUGGGGGCCAACCAACAACAGUGGGUGAACAGACUUAGAGUCUGUGAGUAGACGANAAGGAGAGACAGCCGAUAACGUCCGUGAUGAAGGNACUGGUAGCCCAAAACUCUCUCGAAAAAAAUCANACUAGUCGCUCAACGUUCCGGAACUCUAGUAGAGAUCGUUUGCAAACUCCGCUCUAGUCAAUGAAGCGAGUGUGGNAAUCGGCGUAGUAAGUCGAGCGAAGAACUGCAUUGAUCCUGUAAUCGGGNAGAGGGCNGUUGGCCCANAGAUUAUAGGUUUA